UUAGCAAAUGAUUUGCUUUAUCCGAAAAUGCUAGGUGGUGGCGGCGGCGUUGUGUUCAGUGGCUAAGUGCCUUUUGGUUCGUUGGUCAUUGAAAUUUUUUCACCUGAUGAAAGUUCAACGAACAUCGAGUUGUGGUACCUGAUGUAGAUGCGGAGUGGAGAAAAGACCUGAGUAGGACUAGUGAUUUUCACCUUGCAGCCCAUCCUAUUCGAAAGUGUCUAUGCCUCGGACAUGACAACUUGAUAAUUCAGAAUUUUUAUAGUGAACAAACUUAAACAAUGAUGCAUCAAUGCCAAUUGUAUUGAUUGCUUUUAUGUUGGAACACGAAAAA
Long non-coding RNA from Triticum dicoccoides, 331 nucleotides. RefSeq lists it as uncharacterized. The transcript is spliced from 2 exons. Lineage: Eukaryota; Viridiplantae; Streptophyta; Magnoliopsida; Poales; Poaceae. The record is from RefSeq and is a predicted model, not a curated record.